RNAcentral lists this ribosomal RNA (244 nucleotides) under uncultured bacterium. RNAcentral's name for it is "partial small subunit ribosomal RNA". It matches the Rfam family "Bacterial small subunit ribosomal RNA", at positions 26 to 285 of the family's 1533-position model. The record is from RNAcentral.
AGAAUCAACGCUGGCGGCGUGCCUAACACAUGCAAGUCGAACGAGAAAGUGGAGCAAUCCAUGAGUAAAGUGGCGCACGGGUGAGUAACACGUGACUAACCUACCCUUGAGUGGGGGAUAACCUAGAGAAAUCUGGGCUAAUACCGCAUAAUACCUUGGGUCAAAGGAGCAAUUCGCUUAAGGAGGGGGUCGCGGCCGAUUAGUUAGUUGGCGGGGUAAUGGCCCACCAAGACUGUGAUCGGUA